RNAcentral lists this ribosomal RNA (119 nucleotides) under Pteropus alecto (black flying fox). The record is from RNAcentral. Lineage: Eukaryota; Metazoa; Chordata; Mammalia; Chiroptera; Pteropodidae.
GUCUAUGGCCAUGCCACCCUGAACACGCCUAAUCCCGUUUGGUCUCAGAAGCUAAGUAAGGUCGGGCCUUGUUAGUACUUGGAUGGAAGACCACCUGGGAAUCCCAGGUACUGUAGGCU